GAAAUGCGAUAAUUAAUGUGAAUUGCAGAAUUCAGUGAAUCAUCGAGUCUUUGAAUGCACAUUGCGCCCCCUGGUAUUCCGGGGGGCAUGCCUGUCCGAGCGUCAUUGCUGCCCUCAAGCACGGCUUGUGUGUUGGGCUUCCGUCCCUGGCAACGGGGACGGGCCCAAAAGGCAGUGGCGGCACCAUGUCUGGUCCUCGAGCGUAUGGGGCUUUGUCACCCGCUCCCGUAGGUCCAGCUGGCAGCUAGCCUCGCAACCAAUCUUUUUAACCAGGUUGACCUCGGAUCAGGUAGGGAUACCCGCUGAACUUAAGC
RNAcentral lists this unclassified non-coding RNA (314 nucleotides) under plant metagenome. RNAcentral's name for it is "partial contains 5.8S ribosomal RNA, internal transcribed spacer 2, and large subunit ribosomal RNA". The stretch from base 1 to 105 matches the Rfam family "5.8S ribosomal RNA", at positions 50 to 154 of the family's 154-position model. The record is from RNAcentral.